GCCUGGCUGGCUCAGUUGGAAGAGCAUGAGACUCUUGAUCUCGGGGGUCGUGAGUUCAAGCCCCACAUUGGGUG
RNAcentral lists this transfer RNA (74 nucleotides) under Felis catus (domestic cat). It matches the Rfam family "tRNA". From Rfam's summary of the family: Transfer RNA (tRNA) molecules are approximately 80 nucleotides in length. Their secondary structure includes four short double-helical elements and three loops (D, anti-codon, and T loops). Lineage: Eukaryota; Metazoa; Chordata; Mammalia; Carnivora; Felidae. The record is from Rfam by way of RNAcentral.